GGAAGAGCUAGGUUCGCACAUGCGCAGCGCUCCAGGACAGCAGGAGCAGGGUGACCCUGAGUGCUGAGACCCUGCCGCGAUGCUGAGCAAGUUUCUGGGCCCACGCUAUCGGGAACUGGCCAAGAACUGGUGAGGAGGUCGCCCGCCGUCCCACCCGUGUGCCCUGGGGACAUAGGGGGGAAACUCUGCUGGGGCAGCUGAAGACUCCAGGACACAGUGCAGGUGGAGGAUGAGUUGCUUCGAGCCUCGGUUUCCCCAGCCCGACCUGGGGAUCCCUUUGCGGUACGGGAUCCCCACUGCCAGCAUGUGGGGUGCCGUGGGUGCCGUGGGGCUGGUGUGGGCCACAGACUGGCGUUUGAUCCUGGACUGGGUACCUUACAUCAACGGCAAGUUUAAGAAGGAUGAUUAGGAAAACCCCGUCACACUCAGGAUCUCCCUGGCUCACACCUGCUGUCAGCUCACCUGAUGUCGUCCCCUUCUCCAGGCUCACACCUGCUGUCAGCUCACCUGAUGUCGUCCCCUUCCCCAGGCUCACACCUGCUGUCAGCUCACCUGAUGUUGUCCCCUUCCCCAGGCUCACACCUGCUGUCAGCUCACCUGAUGUCCCCUUCCGCGGGCUCACACCUGCUGUCAGCUCACCCAAUGUCCCCUUCCCCAGGCUCACACCUGCUGUCAGCUCACCCGAUGUCCCCUUCCCCAGGCUCACACCUGCUGUCAGCUCGCCCGAUGUCCCCUUCCCCAGGCUCACACCUGCUGUCUCAGGAACAGCUCAGCCUCGUGAAGGAUGCUGAGGAAGCUGGACACGGCCAAGUCCCGCAGCACCCGGGGAGCCUCUGCGCAGAUGGACACUUGGGCUGCCUUGAUGGGUGUACAUUAAACCUUGUUCUCACA
Molecule: RNA transcript, 891 nt
Organism: Chionomys nivalis (European snow vole)
Lineage: Eukaryota; Metazoa; Chordata; Mammalia; Rodentia; Cricetidae
Gene name: cytochrome b-c1 complex subunit 10
Exons: 3
Source: RefSeq, a predicted model, not a curated record